Molecule: ribosomal RNA, 385 nt
Filed under: Haloarcula onubensis
Lineage: Archaea; Methanobacteriati; Methanobacteriota; Halobacteria; Halobacteriales; Haloarculaceae
Description: partial 23S ribosomal RNA
Rfam family: Archaeal large subunit ribosomal RNA
Source: RNAcentral
CGACGUUGGCUACUAUGCCAGCUGGUGGAUUGCUCGGCUCGAGAGCUGAAGAAGGACGUGCCAAGCUGCGAAAAGCCUGAGGGAGCCGCACGGAGGCUAAGAACUCAGGAUCUCCGAAUGGGAAUCCCCACAGCAAUUGCUUCGCGCAAUGAGUAACCCCGAGAACUGAAACAUCUCAGUAUCGGGUGGAAAAGAAAACGCAACGUGAUGUCGUCAGUAACCGCGAGUGAACGCGAUACAGCCCAAACCGAAGGUCCCACGACCAAUGUGGUGUUCGGGCAGAUUCUCAGCAGCGGACCAUCUCACAGAAGUCCCUUGGAACAGGGCGUGAUACAGGGUGACAACCCCGUACGUGAGGUCAGUACGCUGUGCAUCUGUUCCAGAG